UUGAUCAAUUUUUGAGGCACAGACAAGAAGCUGUGAAACAAUUAAAUGGUUAUACAUAAAGUCUUUGUAUCACAAAACAGAAAAAAAAUAGAAAUGUAAUUGGUUAAUUCACAACAGAUAAAAUGUCAUCAUUUUUGUACAGUAGAUUAAUAAUUGUACAUGUUUUAAUUUCAUACUUGAUUAAGUGAAUUUAUAUUAAAUAUAGACAUACAGUAGCAUUCUAUACCAGGUACCUUUAAAUAAAAAUUGCAAAUUUUACGAAAUAAAGAUAGUUGAAAUAUAAUAAAGACAGUUGGAACAUUAAUGAUGAUCAUUUAGGGUUUUAGCUGAUGCUUCGGGUUCUAUUUCUUCAAAUGCUUAUAUGUUUUAAGUUUUUAACUUCCCUUUAUUUAUGUUUUGUCUUUUAUUUACCUAAACGUGAUGUGGCAUGGAAGAUUAAGUAUAUAUCACAUAUAUUGCAUUUGCCAAUAUAGUUAUUACCCACAAAUUUUUAUAACGGAAUGUACAAAAAAUAGUUUAAUUGUUAUGUUCUUAAAACUUUUGAGAAGCUCAAAAAUGGUAUUUGUUUCGCCUGGCAGAGAUAAACAAACUAUAUGAAAUUACCAUAGUACACAGUAUUUUCAGAUGUAUUUAUCAAUUAUAACUGCAAUUUGGUUGGAUAAUGAAUUGAUAAAGUUGAUAUUCCGAAACUUGUCAUCUGUUUUACCUUUGCAGUAUAAUUUUUUUUUAACAUACUUCAUAUCUUUGACCUGUUAUUUUCAUAUAUAUUUGGAAUGAAUGAGUAUUGAUAGAACAUUAUUUGUAUGUCGAAUUUUAUUUAACAUCAUAUUUUAUUUGCUUGUAUGUUUAUUUUUGUUGUGAUUGAAUAUUGAAUUAUGUGAUUUAAAUUAUUUACUUUUUUAUAUUUUUUCGUUUUAAUCAAUAAUAUUUUGUGUUUGAUUAUAUGUGUAUUGGUUGAAGAUUGAUAUAUGUGUGUUACACAUGCCAAUUUAUAUAAUGAUCAUAUACAUUUGUAUUUUUUUUAAUAUAAGAGCUUUAUAAAAUCCCAUUUAUUUAAAAAAAUUUGGGUAAUGUUGAAGGAUACGUCAAUAUUGCUACCAAUCAAAAGGGCAGAAAAAUACGAUUGAAAAAAAUUGAAAAUAAAUACAAGUGUCAAAAUUCGGGCGCAAGUACGGAGUUUAUCAGUGUUUACGGUUGUAUUUUAAUGCAAGUCAUUUACACCAACAUACCUACAUGUCCUAAACUUUUUUCAUAUCAAUGUGCAAGUCAUGUUUUAGUUCACUUUAACGUUAUGUUGAUCCCGAUCGAAGUUUGAUAAUUAUACUUCCGCUGCUACUAAUGAGUUCGCUUCCGAUUUGUUUCAAUGCUGUUAAGAUUUGCCUUUUUGUUUUGAAAGUCAUGUCACUAUUGUCUAACUUUGUUAAUCAAGUUAUAGAUAAAUACUAAAGCUGAUCUGAAUUUCAGUUAUUUCAGAUCAUUUUAUAUGUUUUGUUAAAUAUCAGAUAUAAAAACAAUAAAAUUAUGUGAGAA
RNAcentral lists this long non-coding RNA (1530 nucleotides) under Mytilus galloprovincialis (Mediterranean mussel). The record is from RNAcentral. Lineage: Eukaryota; Metazoa; Mollusca; Bivalvia; Mytilida; Mytilidae.